This 332-nucleotide ribosomal RNA is filed under the name uncultured Actinomycetes bacterium. RNAcentral's name for it is "bacterial SSU rRNA". It matches the Rfam family "Bacterial small subunit ribosomal RNA", at positions 28 to 351 of the family's 1533-position model. Lineage: Bacteria; Bacillati; Actinomycetota; Actinomycetes. The record is from RNAcentral.
GACGAACGCUGGCGGCGUGCUUAACACAUGCAAGUCGAACGGGGCCCAAGCAUUAGCAAUAAUGUGGAAGGUCUAGUGGCGAACGGGUGAGUAACACGUGAGAAACCUAUCCUGGUCUCUGGGAUAACAGUCGGAAACAACUGCUAAUACCGGAUGACGUCGGAGUGUCGCAUGGCACGCUGACGAAAGGGUUACUGGAUCAGGAGGGUCUCGCGGCCUAUCAGCUAGUUGGUGGGGUAACGGCCUACCAAGGCAUCGACGGGUAGCUGGUCUGAGAGGAUGGAUCAGCCACACUGGGACUGAGACACGGCCCAGACUCCUACGGGAGGCAG